GAUCAACGCUGGCGGCGUGCUUAACACAUGCAAGUCGAACGAAGUUUUUCUUUCGGGAGGACUUAGUGGCGGACGGGUGAGUAACGCGUGGGUAACCUGCCCUGUACAGGGGGACAACAGCUGGAAACGGCUGCUAAUACCGCAUAAGCCCUUAGCACUGCAUGGUGCAUAGGGAAAAGGAGCAGACCGGUACAGGAUGGACCCGCGUCUGAUUAGCCAGUUGGCAGGGUAACGGCCUACCAAAGCGACGAUCAGUAGCCGAUCGGAGAGGAUGGACGGGCACAAUGGGACUGAGACACGGCCCAGACUCCUACGGGAGGCAGCAGUGGGGAAUAUUGCACAAUGGAGGAAACUCUGAUGCAGCGACGCCGCGUGAGUGAAGAAGUAUUUCGGUAUGUAAAGCUCUAUCAGCAGGAAAGAAAAUGACGGUACCUGACGAAGAAGCACCGGCUAAAUACGUG
This 461-nucleotide ribosomal RNA is filed under the name uncultured bacterium. RNAcentral describes it as "partial 16S ribosomal RNA". It matches the Rfam family "Bacterial small subunit ribosomal RNA", at positions 28 to 507 of the family's 1533-position model. The record is from RNAcentral.